This 396-nucleotide ribosomal RNA is filed under the name uncultured bacterium. RNAcentral's name for it is "partial 16S ribosomal RNA". It matches the Rfam family "Bacterial small subunit ribosomal RNA", at positions 523 to 918 of the family's 1533-position model. The record is from RNAcentral.
AUACGUAGGGAGCGAGCGUUGUCCGGAAUUACUGGGCGUAAAGCGCACGCAGGCGGGCAAUUAAGUCAGAUGUGAAAGCCCCGAGCUUAACUUGGGAAUUGCAUCUGAAACUGGUUGGCUAGAGUCUUGUAGAGGGGGGUAGAAUUCCACGUGUAGCGGUGAAAUGCGUAGAGAUGUGGAGGAAUACCGGUGGCGAAGGCGGCCCCCUGGUCAAAGACUGACGCUCAGGUGCGAAAGCGUGGGGAGCAAAGAGGAUUAGAUACCCUGGUAGUCCACGCUGUAAACGAUGUCGAUUUAGAGGUUGUGGUCUUGACCCGUGGCUUCUGGAGCUAACGCGUUAAAUCGACCGCCUGGGGAGUACGGCCGCAAGGUUAAAACUCAAAUGAAUUGACGGGG